CCUACGGGAGGCUGCAGUGGGGAAUAUUGCACAAUGGGCGCAAGCCUGAUGCAGCCAUGCCGCGUGUGUGAAGAAGGCCUUCGGGUUGUAAAGCACUUUCAGCGGGGAGGAAGGCGGUGAGGUUAAUAACCUCAUCGAUUGACGUUACCCGCAGAAGAAGCACCGGCUAACUCCGUGGCCAGCAGCCGCGGUAAUACGGAGGGUGCAAGCGUUAAUCGGAAUUACUGGGCGUAAAGCGCACGCAGGCGGUCUGUCAAGUCGGAUGUGAAAUCCCCGGGCUCAACCUGGGAACUGCAUUCGAAACUGGCAGGCUAGAGUCUUGUAGAGGGGGGUAGAAUUCCGGGUGUAGCGGUGAAAUGCGUAGAGAUCUGGAGGAAUACCGGUGGCGAAGGCGGCCCCCUGGACAAAGACUGACGCUCAGGUGCGAAAGCGUGGGGAGCAAACAGGAUUAGAUACCCGAGUAGUC
This 466-nucleotide ribosomal RNA is filed under the name uncultured Klebsiella sp. RNAcentral's name for it is "bacterial SSU rRNA". It matches the Rfam family "Bacterial small subunit ribosomal RNA", at positions 338 to 795 of the family's 1533-position model. The record is from RNAcentral. Lineage: Bacteria; Pseudomonadati; Pseudomonadota; Gammaproteobacteria; Enterobacterales; Enterobacteriaceae.